GAUGAACGCUGGCGGCGUGCCUAAUACAUGCAAGUCGAGCGAACGGACGAGAAGCUUGCUUUUCUGAUGUUAGCGGCGGACGGGUGAGUAACACGUGGAUAACCUACCUAUAAGACUGGGAUAACUUCGGGAAACCGGAGCUAAUACCGGAUAAUAUUUUGAACCGCAUGGUUCAAAAGUGAAAGACGGUCUUGCUGUCACUUAUAGAUGGAUCCGCGCUGCAUUAGCUAGUUGGUAAGGUAACGGCUUACCAAGGCAACGAUGCAUAGCCGACCUGAGAGGGUGAUCGGCCACACGGGAACUGAGACACGGUCCAGACUCCUACGGGAGGCAGCAGUAGGGAAUCUUCCGCAAUGGGCGAAAGCCUGACGGAGCAACGCCGCGUGAGUGAUGAAGGUCUUCGGAUCGUAAAACUCUGUUAUUAGGGAAGAGCAUAUGUGUAAGUAACUGUGCACAUCUUGACGGUACCUAAUCAGAAAGCCACGGCUAACUACGUG
Molecule: ribosomal RNA, 497 nt
Filed under: uncultured bacterium
Lineage: Bacteria
Description: partial 16S ribosomal RNA
Rfam family: Bacterial small subunit ribosomal RNA
Source: RNAcentral